UACGGAGGGAGCUAGCGUUGUUCGGAAUUACUGGGCGUAAAGCGCGCGUAGGCGGCUUUGUAAGUUAGAGGUGAAAGCCCAGGGCUCAACCCUGGAAUUGCCUUUAAGACUGCAUCGCUUGAACAUCGGAGAGGUAAGUGGAAUUCCGAGUGUAGAGGUGAAAUUCGUAGAUAUUCGGAAGAACACCAGUGGCGAAGGCGACUUACUGGACGAUUGUUGACGCUGAGGUGCGAAAGCGUGGGGAGCAAACAGG
Molecule: ribosomal RNA, 253 nt
Filed under: uncultured bacterium
Lineage: Bacteria
Description: partial 16S ribosomal RNA
Rfam family: Bacterial small subunit ribosomal RNA
Source: RNAcentral